GAGGAGGCUGGAAUGCGCUGGCUGUAACUUACGACCAUUGUGAGGGGCGACGUGGCGCGAGGAGAGCCACUAAAUAAUUCAAAGUAGGGCUGAAGGUCAUUUCGCAGUUAACGGUGCCGUUAGGGUAAAACAAGUUUUACAGCCGAGGAGGUAUCAGCAACCACAACAUUAUCCCAUCCUUUCGCCUCCAAACCCCCACUCUUCUCAGACCCAAAAUCACUUCUGUUCUUUCUCUCCUCUCACCACUCGACUUUAUAACCAAACCAUUCCUUUUCCGCUAUUUAACCAAAAUCCAAUCUUGAACACAAACCAAUUCGUGGGUUUUCCGGGAAAGCAAUUGGGUUUUUGUUUGAAAGGAAGUUAAGGGUUUUGUGAAUGCAAAAGAGGAUGGCGUUGAUGAAGCUGAGGAGCAGAGUAGUUGGAGAGAACUAUGCCGGAGCGGUUUAGGUACUUGACCUAAGAAGCUCCUGACCCUCCUCUGAGGUGGCCUUGGUUUCUGGGUAAAAUGCUUCACUGUCUUUGUCUAUCUUUGUCUAUUUUGAAGAAUUUGCAGGUCCGCUGAGCACAACAGCCGGGUUCAACUCAUCCGAUGCUUCGAUCUAUGUAACCAUGAAGCAAGGGGUUAUGAGGAACUAAGGAAGGCUGCGGGAACCAGCAGGUCAUUAAAAGGGAAAUGUCUGGGCAGAAAUGGUACAUGGUAAGAAUUCCAAGCUUUUGAGUUGUGAAUGUUUUCUGUUGGGAUAUUGAGAUUAAUUAAAUUUGUAAUUUUGUGGUGGAGAUGAAUAUAUGGAAUUGAUGUAUAAAAGCAUUAGAUUGACUGAAUUUGGGACGUAUAUGCAUUUUAUUAAUACAGAAUUAAAAUGCUUCUGCAUUUUGUUUCGGGUUUACGGUAGUUAAACUAAAAUUUGCCGUCUUUCUUUAUGUUUAAAUAUAUGCAAGGGGAACUGACAGAAAAGAAGAUGGGUAUUCCUAAGAAGAGUGGGGGUUGAUUAGGUUUUGGGUGUCCACUAUUUUGAUUGAUUGCAGAUAGAGGUUCUUCUCUUCUUCUUUUCUGUGUUGCAAGUGUAGUAGCUACCUCUGUCUUUCUCUGCUUUGAAGGUAAGUUGUUUAUUGAGAGGUUUGGAUGAUGCCUGCAUUGCCUUGCAUUUCUUUUUGGGAUUGGAGCGUAUUGUUAAAUUGUCUUGCAGAUAAUCUAGCACACUCAUUUCGAUUUGCUUCUUGCUUCUCAAUUUGAGAGAGAAAAACUAUGGGGUGGAGAGAGAGCAAAGAUAUAUGUUGUGUGCGACUUUGGUCCAGCUCCAUGCUUAUUUUCUCAUUAAUAUUCUAUUAACAUUCAAUGGUCAAGAGCUACAUUAUGAGAAGACUACUGUUUUUCAAACCAUUUGAAUAUUUGACGGAUUUGAGAGAUUUCUACUAUACUUCUGAUCCAUAAAUAAGGGCAUUAUUAGUAUGCAAAUUAAUCAAGAAGACUAGUGUAAGAGCUGAGGAGUUACAUAAUAGAGAGAUAGCAUGGGUUGAGCGAAUACUAUAUUGGGGAAGAUGCAGCUGAGGAGUUACAUACUAUUUUUCAAAUUGAUGUAGAUGGUAUGUUACGUAUCUCAUGUCACAUUAGCCAUAUGUUCUUUGCUUGUAGCUUUGCACUGAAGUUCCUGUGCUGGAGUUGAACAUAAUAUUAGUUUCUAAUGACCCAUAUUGUGGUUGGAUUGAAGGUUCUUUGUAUAAAUGGAAUACUUGUGUACUAUUUUCUCAUAUAUAGGUAUUGUGUUGUAUCCA
This is a long non-coding RNA of Rosa chinensis, 1773 nucleotides long. RefSeq lists it as uncharacterized. NCBI's taxonomy places the organism in Eukaryota, Viridiplantae, Streptophyta, Magnoliopsida, Rosales, Rosaceae. The transcript has 2 exons. The record is from RefSeq and is a predicted model, not a curated record.